This 541-nucleotide ribosomal RNA is filed under the name uncultured bacterium. Its description in RNAcentral is "bacterial SSU rRNA". It matches the Rfam family "Bacterial small subunit ribosomal RNA", at positions 355 to 914 of the family's 1533-position model. The record is from RNAcentral.
UAGGGAAUCUUAGACAAUGGGGGAAACCCUGAUCUAGCCAUGCCGCGUGUGUGAUGAAGGCCUUAGGGUCGUAAAGCACUUUCGCCAGAGAUGAUAAUGACAGUAUCUGGUAAAGAAACCCCGGCUAACUCCGUGCCAGCAGCCGCGGUAAUACGGAGGGGGUUAGCGUUGUUCGGAAUUACUGGGCGUAAAGCGCACGUAGGCGGAUUAGUAAGUUAARGGUGAAAUCCCAGGGCUCAACCCUGGAACUGCCUUUAAUACUGCUAGUCUUGAGUUCGAGAGAGGUAAGUGGAAUUCCAAGUGUAGAGGUGAAAUUCGUAGAUAUUUGGAGGAACACCAGUGGCGAAGGCGGCUUACUGGCUCGAWACUGACGCUGAGGUGCGAAAGUGUGGGGAGCAAACAGGAUUAGAUACCCUGGUAGUCCACACCGUAAACGAUGAAUGCCAGACGUCAGCAAGUAUACUUGUUGGUGUCACACCUAACGGAUUAAGCAUUCCGCCUGGGGAGUACGGUCGCAAGAUUAAAACUCAAAUGAAUUGAC